This is a long non-coding RNA of Bos taurus (domestic cattle), 2259 nucleotides long. The record is from Ensembl. Lineage: Eukaryota; Metazoa; Chordata; Mammalia; Artiodactyla; Bovidae.
GGGAACAGUGCUGAGCGUGGCAGGCGUAGUUCCUCCCCUUUGGAGCUCACGGCUGGGUGGUGAAGACAAACCAGGACAGCGGUGGAGUUGCAAGACAUCCUGGGAGCGCUGCAGAAGAAAGAGUCUGCCUAAACUGAGAAGGAGCUGGGGAGAGAUGCAGAGAGGAGUGGGAAUGUUCCAGGAAGGAGAGAGAGCAUGAUAAAGGCCUGGAGAUGAGAGAGCACAAAGGACGUUAGUGGACUGAUGGGGCCCAUCAGAGGCACAAGCGAAGGACCAGGCAAAGAAACCACUCCCAGCCGGGUGCUGCGAAGGCUUCUUGGGGGAGGUGGCUUUGAGCUGGGCUGGAAGUUAGCCAGACUUAUCCUUUCAGUCAUAGAGAACUGGGUGUCCUGGGUGGUGAGGGCAGCACCCAGAGAAGUGCAGAGGCAGGGCUUCUGCACAGCACAAGAAACAGGCAACACGAUGAAUAGGCAACCUGUGAAAUGGGAGAAAAUCUUUGCAAAUUAUAUGUAUCGGCUAAGGAGUUAAUAUCCAAACAUAAGGAACUCAUUCAACUCAACAGCAAAAUAAUCCAAUUAAAACACGGACAGAGGAAUGGACAUUUUUGCAAAUUACCAACAGGCCUAUGAAAAGAUGUACAACAUCACUAAUCAUCAGGGAAAUCAAAUCAAAACCACAAUGAGAAAUCACCUCGCAGCUGUUAGAAUGGCUACUAUCAGAAAGACAAGCAAUAAGGGAGCUCUUGGGCACUGCUGGAAGGUUGGACAGCUUGGGGCCCACACAGGGAUAGAUAGGCCUUGGAGCACAGACAUGGGAGAGGCGAGAGACGCUGAAGCCAGGUCAGGAGGGACCUUCACGGCCACAUGAGGAUGUCUGGACUUUGUUGGGCCACGGGGAGCCAUCGAAGGUGUCUGAGCAAAUAGAGACAAGAUCAUAGUAUGCUUCAAGAAGAUCAGUAAUGGAGAAGAAAAAUUUUCAGACAUGGAAGUUGCCAUCUUGUACCUUCAGAAGGGGAACAAUAACUCUUGAGAAUUCUGUGAUUUUCCAGAAACUUUGUAACUUCCCCGUGUUUGUAACUUUCUAGUUCCUUGCAGUGAUUACCCACAAAACCCUAAACCAGAAAGAGACUGGAACUGCCCCAACCCUGUCAGGUGGAAAGAAGCCAUUGGAAAGAGCAGACACACAGGCCCUAAUGUGCCCAGAGAGAAGGGCAGAGGCUGAGCCAGUUGGAGGGGACCACAGGGAUAUAGGCUGCUUUCUGUGAUGUCCCUGAGUCCCUUCUGGAUCCUGAGAAGGCCCAGCCCCCUGCCCCAGGCCUAGGCCCCUUCAUCAGGCUCCGAAGCAGUCAUGGCUAAUGGUAUUCUGAGCUGUGGGAGCCGAUCACAGCCCAGAAGCCCCAGAAGCUCCCUCUAAGGAGGAGCCUACUCAAGGAAUUCCAAGACCCUCACCCCGAGUGGGUGGCUGGCAACCUGAUCCAAUGGCUUCUCAGCCUGCUAUCCCCUCUGCAUCCAGAAACUGGACUCCGAAUCUCCCUGAGGAAGGCAGUAGCAAAGACAUCAGACUGGCAGGAAUGAGCCUCCCAGUGUGACCUUGGACCAGCACUUCAUGGCUCUGAGCCUUAGCUUUUUCAUCUGGGUCUUCCCUUGGCUUGUUGCCUAGCUUUAUCGUGAACAUCACAUCGGCUUACAGAGCGGAUCCCACUCUAAAUGAUGAGGGACCAAGACAGAGCCAGGGUCUCAUGGGUCUCUUUCUGUGUUAUACAUCUGCUAAUGGGAACAAGGAGCCUGGCUGUGAAUAGGGUGGCGGAAGAAUUGUAUAGUCAAGUGGCUCAUCGUCUGGGAGGAAAAUUCCAGCUCACCAGUUCCCAUGGGCCCGUCUGAGUGGUGGGGAUGGGAGAGCCACAGGAGCUACAGUUUCCCCAUCCUCCAGCUCCCACAUCCCCUCUGCACAGGGGUGUGUGGGCUCCCAGCCCAUCAGAUGCUUGUUUAUUACAUCCACCUAGCCCUCAGAGUCUCUUAGCUCCUUCCUUCCCCCCAGCACUUUCUCUUGGGGACCCACAGCCCCAGAGGUCUGGAGUCAGGAGACAGGGGCUGGGACCCAGGCUUCCCUUCGCCCCCCUGAGAGCUGACCCAGGUUUCAGCCAGGCCCAGGCACCCAUCACCUCCCUGCUGUACCAACCUGACAACCAUAGGCAGGUCACCACAACCUCUCCUGAAGGGGUAUCCCCUUUGUAAUACGGGGACAGGAGCAGCCCUAGGU